RNAcentral lists this long non-coding RNA (1003 nucleotides) under Homo sapiens (human). RNAcentral describes it as "non-protein coding lnc-HMGB2-15:15". The record is from RNAcentral. Lineage: Eukaryota; Metazoa; Chordata; Mammalia; Primates; Hominidae.
AGUACCGGGAAAACAGGAGCGUGUGAUUGGGGUUUACAGUGUUUUCUCUCGCUCUCUCUGUUUCUAGGGAAUUCGGGCUGUGUUUAGCUGCUGGAAUAUCGUAGAAUUGGUUUUCAGAGAAGUUCCUCGACUCCUGAGGCGAAACAUAAAGGGAUGGGAGUGGUGUGGGAAGUGAUCGUGUGGGGAAAAAAAAGUUUCGAGCCCGUUUCGCAUUUGUGGAGACAGAGUUUUUGGUGUGACCACUCUUUUGUGGGAAACCCAAACCAAGGAGAACUCAGGAGAAUUGGCGCUCUUCGGUCCUGGAGGUUCCGCAGCUAACAUCCCGGCUUGACCAACUAUCGAGGCCGCAAAUUAAUAGGGCACCUCCUGGGAGGAAAACGCCCAUCCUGACUUCUCAACUGUGACAGUUUGCUCUGUCGCCCAGGAUGGAGUGCAGUGCAGUGGCGCGAUCCUGCAACCUCCGCCUCUCGAGUUCAAGCGAUUCUCCUGCCUCAGCCUCCCGAGUAGCUGGGAUUACAGACGCGCGCCACCCCACCCAGAUGAUCUUUUUAAAUGCAAAAUGCCAUCGACGCAGAAAAUCAAAGAAUCAGCUUAAGUUCCAGAAAAAAGAAAAACCAACCAAAUGAACAAUAAGACAACAACAACAACAACAAAAAAGGCCUUUUGGGAUUUUGGAUGAUAUUGCAUCAAAUCCAUACAUUAACCUGAGAGACGAGCGACUUCUUCAACAUUGAGCCUUCCAAUCAUGAUUUUCAAUUCAUUUAGGUCUUCUGUAAUGUUUCUUAAUAUAAUUGUAUUUGUUGCUAUGCAGAAGUUUCACUGAUCUUUUAUUAUAUCUCUAUAUAUAUUUGAUAUUUCUGACACUAUUGUAAAUAGUAUCUUUUUAAUAUUUCAUUUUCCUUUUUUGUUGCUUAAAUAUAUAUAAAAUAAGCUAAUUUUCCAAACUAAUUUUUAUAUCCAGCAACCCUGCUAAAAUUUCUUAUCCAAUAAAAAUAUAAAUGUA